AAAGGUUUUUCGGCUCAGAACGGUGUGACAGAUUUAUCCAAAGAAUAAAAUAAUAGCUAAUAUGAUCUUACCUCUGAAUACAAAAAUAACAACAUUGUAUAAUACAUAUUAUGUAAUAAAAUAAUUCAAUAAAUUACUUUCUCUAUAUCUUCUUGGAAAUUUUCAAUAAACAUUAUUGUACAAAGUUGCUGAUCUGUACAUUGAAACUUCUAUUAAAUAGUUAAUAAAUAUAUAUGUAUGUAUAAAAAUAUGUAAUAUAAAAUAUAACCUAAAAGAUCGAAGAAUUACCAUCGUUCAGCUAUCGUUGAUCACAGGAAAAUUCGUGGUAGAAGAAACAAUGGAAGACAUCGACAUGGCGAUUGAGCUAAUAGAACAUCGCAGUUUGAUCUUCGUUAACGAUGUUUUAGUCUGAAACAACAUAACCGUAGAAGCAACGAUAUAAAGACCGGAAAUUAGAAACCGGACGAGGAGAAAAUAUGAAAUGUGAAAAGAGAGAAGGGGAAAUGAAAGGAAGCGGGAAAAGGUUUACGCAUAAAUUAGUCAGCCAUUGCCAUUACUUAUAAUAAAUUAAGUAUACCGGAAUGUAAUAAGUAAUGAUUAAUAAUGGCAGAUUUAUCAGUACAUCCGAUAUACAAAGUGUUCCGUUUUAAUAUCUCACAAUUUUUCACUCGUUCAUGGCGGUUUAAUAAGAGAAAUUAUUUGUUCAUCAAAAUUUAUUUAUGUAAAUUAAGCUAUGUCUGUUUAAUAAAGGUUGGUUAUUUGAUA
Molecule: long non-coding RNA, 765 nt
Organism: Bombus pascuorum
Lineage: Eukaryota; Metazoa; Arthropoda; Insecta; Hymenoptera; Apidae
Exons: 2
Source: RefSeq, a predicted model, not a curated record